CAGCAGCCGCGGUAAUUCGGGAGGGGCAAGCGUUAUUCGGAAUAAUUGGGCGUAAAGGGUUCGUAGACGGUAUUUUAAGUUAAAUAUAAAAUUUUAAAGCUCAACUUUAAAAAAUCUAUUUAAUACUAUCAUACUUGAGUUGAAAAUAGAAAAGUAGAAUUUUAUGAGUAGGGAUAAAAUCUGUAAAUACAUAAAGGAAUAUCUAUAGCGAAGGCAACUUUUUAGUGACAACUGACGUUGAGGGACGAAAGUAUAGGGAGCAAACAGGAUUAGAUACCCUGGUAGUCUAUACUGUAAACGCUGAGUGCUAGAAUUUAAAAAACAAUUUUUAGAUUUUUUAAGCUAACGCAAUAAGCACUCCGCCUGAGGAGUAUAAUUGCAAGAUUGAAACUUAAAGGAAUUGACGG
RNAcentral lists this ribosomal RNA (407 nucleotides) under uncultured bacterium. RNAcentral describes it as "bacterial SSU rRNA". It matches the Rfam family "Bacterial small subunit ribosomal RNA", at positions 509 to 916 of the family's 1533-position model. The record is from RNAcentral.